CAGUCGCCGCGGUAAUGCGUAGGUGGCAAGCGUUGUCCGGAAUUAUUGGGCGUAAAGGGCUCGCAGGCGGUUUCUUAAGUCUGAUGUGAAAGCCCCCGGCUCAACCGGGGAGGGUCAUUGGAAACUGGGAAACUUGAGUGCAGAAGAGGAGAGUGGAAUUCCACGUGUAGCGGUGAAAUGCGUAGAGAUGUGGAGGAACACUAGUGGCGAAGGCGACUCUCUGGUCUGUAACUGACGCUGAGGAGCGAAAGCGUGGGGAGCGAACAGGAUUAGAUACCCCUGUAGUCCCUGUCUCUUAUAC
Molecule: ribosomal RNA, 301 nt
Filed under: uncultured bacterium
Lineage: Bacteria
Description: partial 16S ribosomal RNA
Rfam family: Bacterial small subunit ribosomal RNA
Source: RNAcentral